Molecule: ribosomal RNA, 497 nt
Filed under: uncultured bacterium
Lineage: Bacteria
Description: partial 16S ribosomal RNA
Rfam family: Bacterial small subunit ribosomal RNA
Source: RNAcentral
GAUGAACGCUGGCGGCGUGCCUAAUACAUGCAAGUCGAGCGAACGGACGAGAAGCUUGCUUCUCUGAUGUUAGCGGCGGACGGGUGAGUAACACGUGGAUAACCUACCUAUAAGACUGGGAUAACUUCGGGAAACCGUAGCUAAUACCGGAUAAUAUUUUGAACCGCAUGGUUCAAAAGUGAAAGACGGUCUUGCUGUCACUUAUAGAUGGAUCCGCGCUGCAUUAGCUAGUUGGUAAGGUAACGGCUUACCAAGGCAACGAUGCAUAGCCGACCUGAAAGGGUGAGCGGCCACACUGGAACUGAGACACGGUCCAGACUCCUACGGGAGGAAGCAGUAGGGAAUCUUACGCAAUGGGCGAAAGCCUGACGGAGCAACGCCGCGUGAGUGAUGAAGGUCUUCGGAUCGUAAAACUCUGUUAUUAGGGAAGAACAUAUGUGUAAGUAACUGUGCACAUCUUGACGGUACCUAAUCAGAAAGCCACGGCUAACUACGUG